This 588-nucleotide ribosomal RNA is filed under the name uncultured bacterium. Its description in RNAcentral is "bacterial SSU rRNA". It matches the Rfam family "Bacterial small subunit ribosomal RNA", at positions 125 to 731 of the family's 1533-position model. The record is from RNAcentral.
CCUGCCGUAUGCAGGGGGAUAACAGUUAGAAAUGACUGCUAAUACCGCAUAAGCGCACAGUAUCGCAUGAUACAGUGUGAAAAACGAUAGUGGCAUACGAUGGACCCGCGUCUGAUUAGCUAGUUGGCGGGGUAACGGCCCACCAAGGCGACGAUCAGUAGCCGGCCUGAGAGGGUGAACGGCCACAUUGGAACUGAGACACGGUCCAAACUCCUACGGGAGGCAGCAGUGGGGGAUAUUGCACAAUGGGGGAAACCCUGAUGCAGCGACGCCGCGUGAGUGAAGAAGUAUUUCGGUAUGUAAAGCUCUAUCAGCAGGAAAGAUAAUGACGGUACCUGACUAAGAAGCACCGGCUAAAUACGUGCCAGCAGCCGCGGUAAUACGUAUGGUGCAAGCGUUAUCCGGAUUUACUGGGUGUAAAGGGAGCGCAGACGGCAUGGCAAGCCAGAUGUGAAAGGUGGGGGCUCAACCCCCAAGCUGCAUUUGGAACUGUCAAGCUAGAGUAUCGGAGAGGUAAGUGGAAUUCCUAGUGUAGCGGUGAAAUACGUAAAUAUUAGGAGGAACACCAGUGGCGAAGGCGGCUUACUG